This is an unclassified non-coding RNA of Prolemur simus (greater bamboo lemur), 179 nucleotides long. The record is from Ensembl. NCBI's taxonomy places the organism in Eukaryota, Metazoa, Chordata, Mammalia, Primates, Lemuridae.
GUGCCAGCCAUGGCCACUAAAGUCCUGUAUUUAUCUGUAGAGCAGAUACAGCGUGGGCAGCGCCAGAGAGCCCUUCCCCACCCUGGCCCGCCCAUGUGCCUCCACCCUGACCUGGAGAGACCACCUGUAGGGUAAGAGAGGAGCCCCAUUCCCUCUGCCUUCCCCAUUCUCUGACUUCU